Molecule: non-coding RNA, 438 nt
Organism: Pelobates cultripes (western spadefoot toad)
Lineage: Eukaryota; Metazoa; Chordata; Amphibia; Anura; Pelobatidae
Source: the annotation of a GenBank genome assembly
CUUAUGGCAAAAAGUCUUAUUACACCAUCAACAAUAUUCUUCAAAAUAAUAAUAUUAUAUUAUAAAUCAUGCAUAAACUAAUAAUUCAGCCACAACAUUAAAACCACCAACCUAAUAUUCUGUAGGUCCUCCUCAUGUUGCUAAAAUAGCUCUAAUGCAUCACGGACUCCACAAGACAUCUAAAUGUUUCCUGUGGAAUCUGGCACAUACAUAUUAGCAGCAGAUCCUUUAAGUCCUAAAAUCUGGGGAAGUUGGAGGAAGAGGCUAAUCAAAAAUAUACUCCUCAUAAACUAGACUUCUUAGCUACUAGCCUGCAUGUUUUCUUUAGAAAAAAGUUGUUUCAGAUGGUAUAUUAUAGCACUAGAAGAAACGUACAACAAAUGCAAGGUCAUCCAUUGAGACUGGAAGAAAGGUAUUUUUGCUUACAGAAGAUGAAAG